Molecule: long non-coding RNA, 741 nt
Organism: Aedes albopictus (Asian tiger mosquito)
Lineage: Eukaryota; Metazoa; Arthropoda; Insecta; Diptera; Culicidae
Exons: 3
Source: RefSeq, a predicted model, not a curated record
UGUUGCUCACACUCUAGCCGUAAUAAAUGGAAGCAUAGGUUCUUCUUACCAUGUAAAAUACACCACACCUACAACAGCACAACAGAACACAACAUCCACGUAGCUACCGCCAACAUUCCCCACCAAAUAUGAUAAUUGCGUAUCAGGAACCCUCAGUUGCUACCGCUCUUCUCUACUAGGAAUAGGAUCUCACUCUCUACUUGCCGUUUGCUCAUAUGACCACUUGACCACGAUGUAAGAGUGCUAUCACUACACUUCAGCACCGCAAGAUAUUAUUUGAUCGAAGUGCAGAUCAUCAGUUCCCGGUUAACUGCAAAGCAGGCAGAACGCGUGUUAAAGUUCGUGGUUGUUCCCAUAAAUAAAUAGCCUGACCGAUAGAACAAUUCCAAUUGUGCAACAGUAACGAUUGUGUGUGAAGUGGAUAGUCGGUAGUUAUGGCUGCCUUAUGGCAAGCCACCCCGAUCCACGAUUUUUUGCAUGAAGCUCAUAGAGCAAUAAUGGAGUAGAGAAAGUGUUACAAUGAGAUCGGCUUUUCGUUCACGACCAAGUAUGAGGUGGCAGAACGAGUAUAAUCCUGGCGCGAUGUCGGUAUGGCCUACCAGCCCUGGAGUAGCCGGCAUGUCACCGGUGAGCCAACUUCUGUCCAGGCGGAAGUGUCACGCAGGAGUCGUCGCGGGAUACACUCUACACUGACACCCACACACACUAAUCACAUUAGGCAGACGUAGGUUAAGCUGGAAU